CAGUAGCCACGGUAAUACGUAGGGGGCGAGCGUUGUCCGAAGUUACUGGGCGUAAAGCGCGCGUAGGCGGCUUCUUAAGUCUGAGGUGAAAGGUUCAACGCUUAACGUGAACAGUGCCUUGGAUACUGGGGAGCUUGAGUAUGGGAGAGGGCAGUGGAAUGGCUGGUGUAGCGGUGAAAUGCGUAGAUAUCAGUCGGAACACCCAUGGCGAAGGCAGCUGCCUGGCCUAAUACUGACGCUGAGGUGCGAAAGCGUGGGGAGCGAACGGGAUUAGAUACCCGUGUAGUCCCUGUCUCUUAUA
Molecule: ribosomal RNA, 301 nt
Filed under: uncultured bacterium
Lineage: Bacteria
Description: partial 16S ribosomal RNA
Rfam family: Bacterial small subunit ribosomal RNA
Source: RNAcentral